GAUGAACGCUGGCGGCGUGCCUAAUACAUGCAAGUCGAGCGAACAGACGAGGAGCUUGCUCCUCUGACGUUAGCGGCGGACGGGUGAGUAACACGUGGAUAACCUCCCUAUAAGACUGGGAUAACUUCGGGAAACCGGAGCUAAUACCGGAUAAUAUAUUGAACCGCAUGGUUCAAUAGUGAAAGACGGUUUUGCUGUCACUUAUAGCUGGAUCCGCGCCGCAUUAGCUAGUUGGUACGGUAACGGCUUACCAAGGCUACGAUGCGUAGCCGACCUGAGAGGGUGAUCGGCCACACUGGAACUGAGACACGGUCCAGACUCCUACGGGAGGCAGCAGUAGGGAAUCUUCCGCAAUGGGCGAAAGCCUGACGGAGCAACGCCGCGUGAGUGAUGAAGGUCUUCGGAUCGUAAAGCUCUGUUAUUAGGGAAGAACAAAUGUGUAAGUAACUAUGCACGUCUUGACGGUACCUAAUCAGAAAGCCACGGCUAACUACGUG
Molecule: ribosomal RNA, 497 nt
Filed under: uncultured bacterium
Lineage: Bacteria
Description: partial 16S ribosomal RNA
Rfam family: Bacterial small subunit ribosomal RNA
Source: RNAcentral